UGCCAAACACACCGUUUAUGUUGCUUUGUGCGUUUCGACCAAAAUUGUCGGAUUGUUGCCCAUAGUCGCAGAAACGCAGCAGAGAAAGAGACGAAGCGAUCCAUGGCAACGUCGUUUGAUAGAUCGACUGAGUGAGGCGGGAGCACACAACACACACACAGCUGGCAGCGCCUGGUGCCCAGGAAACGGAGCUAGUCGAACCGGCGUCCGAACCUAGCCCGCCAGGGUCGAAUCGAGUUCUCUCUCUAUUUCGAUGAUGGCGAUCCACGUAGUCGGAAAAUGGUUUCGAUUAUCGGUCAGGCCGGCAGGGUCGCUAGGAGGCACGCGAUUGGUGUCGUCGGUGCGCGCGCGUUCAGCAAAUCAGCCGCAUAUGGUCGCCACUGGCAACCGCAAUCGGUGUUCCAAUUUCGACGUCUGGUCCGAGUUGAGCGAACUGGUCGAGAAAUGGGCACGCCGUUUGCCGGUCGCGGUCGGACGCCAUUCGACAGGAUUGCUUCAGAGGCCGUCAAAAUCGGGACAAUGGGACGAAUUGUAUGCGGAGCGCAGCACCAAUGGCGGUGGAUUGUAGCCGCUCUCGAUGGCGUUUACGCCGGCUCGGUGGGCGUGAUCGGUUCUCCUCGUGUUGUCAGCGCAGCACAUGGCGCGACUCCGUGUUUGCGUGGGACAUGUGCCAAACCAUUUUGCGUCAAAUGCGUGAAUCUUUUUGGGUUCUUUGGGUGAAUGUUCUUUGCACAUCCUCGCAGUUGAGCUGGACUUGUGAAUGUGAAUUUACGUAAAUCUAUUUAUCUUUCUGCUCUGAUUCUA
Long non-coding RNA from Anopheles gambiae (African malaria mosquito), 804 nucleotides. RefSeq lists it as uncharacterized. NCBI's taxonomy places the organism in Eukaryota, Metazoa, Arthropoda, Insecta, Diptera, Culicidae. The transcript has 2 exons. The record is from RefSeq and is a predicted model, not a curated record.